UGCGUAGGCGGUCUGGUAAGUCAGCGGUGAAAUUUAGGGGCUCAACCUCUACCGUGCCGUUGAUACUGUCAGGCUAGAAUGCGGAUGCCGUGGGAGGAAUGUGUGGUGUAGCGGUGAAAUGCAUAGAUAUCACACAGAACACCGAUUGCGAAGGCAUCUCACGAAUCCGCAAUUGACGCUGAUGCACGAAAGCGUGGGGAUCAAACA
This 207-nucleotide ribosomal RNA is filed under the name uncultured bacterium. Its description in RNAcentral is "partial 16S ribosomal RNA". It matches the Rfam family "Bacterial small subunit ribosomal RNA", at positions 568 to 774 of the family's 1533-position model. The record is from RNAcentral.